CUACGGGCCGCAGCAGUGGGGAAUCUUAGACAAUGGGGGAAACCCUGAUCUAGCCAUGCCGCGUGAGCGACGACGGCCCUAGGGUUGUAAAGCUCUUUCAGCAGGGAAGAUAAUGACGGUACCUGCAGAAGAAGUCCCGGCUAACUCCGUGCCGAGCAGCCGCGGUAAUACGGAGGGGACUAGCGUUGUUCGGAAUUACUGGGCGUAAAGCGCGCGUAGGCGGAUUGUUAAGUCGGGGGUGAAAUCCCGGGGCUCAACCCCGGAACUGCCCUCGAUACUGGCAGUCUUGAGUUCGAGAGAGGUGAGUGGAAUUCCGAGUGUAGAGGUGAAAUUCGUAGAUAUUCGGAGGAACACCAGUGGCGAAGGCGGCUCACUGGCUCGAUACUGACGCUGAGGUGCGAAAGCGUGGGGAGCAAACAGGAUUAGAUACCCGGGUAGUC
RNAcentral lists this ribosomal RNA (440 nucleotides) under uncultured bacterium. RNAcentral describes it as "partial 16S ribosomal RNA". It matches the Rfam family "Bacterial small subunit ribosomal RNA", at positions 339 to 795 of the family's 1533-position model. The record is from RNAcentral.